GACGAACGCUAGCGGCAGGCCUAAUACAUGCAAGUCGAACGGUAAGGUCUCUUCGGAGAUACACGAGUGGCGCACGGGUGCGUAACGCGUAUGCAACCUACCCAUUAGAGGGGAAUAGUCGCGGGAAACUGCGAAUAAUACCCCAUGAGUUCCUAAGGUCGCAUGGCUUAAGGAAGAAAACUCAGGUGCUGAUGGAUGGGCAUGCGUGACAUUAGCUAGUUGGUGAGGUAACGGCUCACCAAGGCGACGAUGUCUAGCUGGUCUGAGAGGAUGAUCAGCCACACGGGCACUGAGACACGGGCCCGACUCCUACGGGAGGCAGCAGUAAGGAAUAUUGGUCAAUGGGGGCAACCCUGAACCAGCCAUGCCGCGUGGAGGAAGACGGUUCUCUGAAUUGUAAACUUCUUUUAUGAGAGAAUAAUAUAGAGCUAUACGCUCUUAUGUAGGUACCUCAUGAAUAAGCACCGGCUAACUACG
This 477-nucleotide ribosomal RNA is filed under the name uncultured Bacteroidota bacterium. RNAcentral describes it as "bacterial SSU rRNA". It matches the Rfam family "Bacterial small subunit ribosomal RNA", at positions 28 to 505 of the family's 1533-position model. The record is from RNAcentral. Lineage: Bacteria; Pseudomonadati; Bacteroidota.